UGAUCUGUGGUUGGUUGAAUCUGUGGACAUGGAACCUGUGGAUGCAGAGGGCCAAUUGUAUUU
RNAcentral lists this microRNA precursor (63 nucleotides) under Chlorocebus sabaeus (green monkey). RNAcentral describes it as "miRNA (ENSCSAG00000025165.1)". The record is from RNAcentral. Lineage: Eukaryota; Metazoa; Chordata; Mammalia; Primates; Cercopithecidae.